AUCUAGUUGACAAGUCUCAAAUAGGUCGAAACAUGUGUCCUGGAU
This 45-nucleotide non-coding RNA is filed under the name Schistosoma mansoni. The record is from RNAcentral. Lineage: Eukaryota; Metazoa; Platyhelminthes; Trematoda; Strigeidida; Schistosomatidae.